Molecule: non-coding RNA, 3316 nt
Organism: Picea glauca (white spruce)
Lineage: Eukaryota; Viridiplantae; Streptophyta; Pinopsida; Pinales; Pinaceae
Source: Rfam
CGACCCCAUAUCAAGUGAGAACACCCACUUAGUUUAAGAAUAUAAUUAAACAGAGGAAAAGAAGCAUACAAGGAUUCCCCAAGUAACAACGAGCGAACCAAGAACAACCCAGCAUGAAAAUCAAGUGGUAAAAUCACCUGAAUUGUAUUCUAUAGAAGCGUCCUUAGCACCAGAAUGGUCCCAAGUCCCUUAGAAGGGGGAACUUUAUAGGGUGAAAAUCCUGUUGGGCUGGGACACUAUCGCACCACUAGGCGUUGUCGAUGAGUUAUAUUUUUUUGGAAUGUAGCCCUAAUUGGGUGGUAAAUUCUAUACAAGAAUAUGGGUGAGAGACCGAUAGCGAACAAGUACCACAAGGGAAAUAUGAGAAUGAAUUUGAAAAGAGAGUUAAAGAGUGCCUGGAAUUGUUGGGAGGGAAAUAGAUGGAGGCCGACGAUGUGUCUCGGUUAGAUGUGGAAUGAAUCAAGUUGGUCCGUUGCUCGACUCAAGGUGAGAAAUAGCACAUGCCAUUGCAUCGACACAAGCGAGGGUGGAGUACUUCCUAUUGGUUUUUCGUUGUGGUAGUCGAGGAACGAAGCAUGCACCCUUGGGGCGAGCCAGUAUGCACCUUCAUGCUCAUGGUAUUGGUUGGUGGGAUCUCCAUUCAACUCGUCUUGAAAGACGAACCAAGGAGUGUAACAUGUGUGCAAGUCGGUGGGUUUGUAAACCUGCAAGAUGUAAGGAAGAUGACAGGAAAGAUCCCCUCUCCAUGGGGUGCAUUGUCGACUGACCUUGAUCUUGUGUGAAGGGUUCGAGUGCGAGAACACCUUUUGGGACCUGAAAGAUGGUGAACUAUGCCUGAGUAGGGUGAAGCCAAAGGAAACUCUAGCGGAGGCCCAUAUAAAUAUUAACAUGCAAAUCAUUCAUUUGACUUGGGUAUAGGGGUGAAAGACUAAUAGAACCAUAUAGUAGUUGUUUUCCUUCGAAGUUUCCCUCAGGAUAGAUGGAUCUCACAUACGAGUUUUAUCAGGUAAAGAAAAUGAUUAGUGGCAUUGGGGGCGUAACACCCUCAACCUAUUCUGAAACUUUAAAUUGGUAAGACAGUGCGAUUGCUCCAUUGAGCCAUGCCACAAAAUCAAGAGCUCCAAGUGGGCCAUUUUUGGUAAGAAGAACUGGCCUUGUGGGUGAACUGAAAUUCGAGUUACAGUGCCAAACUGCACACUAAACUAGAUCCCACAAAGGUUUUUGGUUUAUUAAGACAAUAGGAGGGUGGUCAUGCAAGUCGAAAUCUGCUAAGGAGUGUGUAACAACUCACCUGACGAAUCAAAUAGCCCCAAAAAUGGAUGGCGCUGAAGCACGUGACCUAUACUUGAUCGUGGGAGAAAUUCUCAGGCUUCAAUGAGUAGGAGGACGUAGGGGGUUGUUGAGAAAACUUGGACAUGAUCUUGGGUGGACCGACCCCUGGUGUAGAUCUUGGUGGUAGUAGAAAAUAUUCAAAUGAGAACUUUGAAGACUUAAGUGGGGAUAGGUUCCACGUGAACAACACUUGGACAUGGUGUAGUCAAUCCUAAGAGAUGGGAAAAACUUGUAUCAAAGGUGCAAUUUCCACGAACAUCAAAAGGGAAUCAGGUUAAUAUUCCUGAAUCGGGACAUGGCAGUGAAUGACAACGUUAGGAAAUCCGAAGACCUCAUCGGGGGCCCUGGGAAGUGUUAUAUUUUAUUUUUACAUCUUUCCCACCCUCAAAUCGGCUCAAUCGGAGAUAGGGUCGAGAAACUAGAAGAGCAUCGCAUGUCUUGCAGUGUCCAGUGUGCCCUCAAUGGCCUUUAAAAAUAUGGAGGACUGAGUACCAUCCAUGCCCGGUCUUACUCAUAACCACAUCAUGUCUCCAAGGUGAACAAUCUCUGGUCAAUAGAACAAUGUAGGUAAGGGAAGUCGGCAAAAUGGAUCCGUAACUUUGGGAAAAGGAUUUCCUCUAACAGAUAGGCCUAAGGGUUUGUAUCCUCAAACCUUGGGAUAUCUACAAUAUGCCUGAGCUUUUAUCACAGCGAGGGAGGGCAUUUGCCUGUCGAUUGGGAUACAGACGUAUAAUGUCCCCUCGUAGGGACUUUUCCCUAGGUGGCGAACAAUCGACUCAAAACUGGUAUGGACAAGGGGAAUCCAACUAUUUAAUUAAAAAAAACCAUUGAGAUGGUCCCUGCGGAUGUUGAUGGAAUGUGAUUUCUACCUAGUUCUCUGAAUGUCAAAGUUAAUAAGUUCAACCAAGCGUGGGUAAAUUACGGGAAUUACUAUCACUCUCUUAAGAUAUCCAAAUGCCUCGUCCUAAAAUUAUUGACGUGCAUGAAUGGAUUAAGGAGAUUCCCACAAUCCCUAUAUACUAUCUAGACAAAUCAUAACUAAGGGAAUGGGCUUGGCAUAAUCAACGGGGAAAGAAGACCCUGUUGAGGUUGACUCUAGUUUGACUUUGUGAAAUGACUUGAGAGGUGUAGAAUAAGUAGGAGCCCUUUUUAGCGCAAGUUAAAUACCAAUACUUUUAAUGUUAUUUUACUUAUUCCAUGGGGAGGAGUUGGGGCAUUGCCCCUAUUGUUUUUCCUUAAGACACAUUUUUACGGGUCGAUUCGAGUAUAAGACAUUGUCAGGUGGGGAGUUUGGCUAGGGAGACACAUUUGUUAAAAGAUAACGUGGGUGUCCUAAGAUGAGAUCAACGAGAAAAAAAAUCUUGUGUGGAACAAAAUGGUAAAAUCUCAUUUGAUUUUGAUUUUUAGUACAAAUACAAACCAUGAAACUGUGGCCUAUCGAUCCUUUAUAAUUUUGAAAUUUGAAUCUAGAGGUGUCAGAAAAGUUACCACAGGGAUAACUAGCUUGUAGAAUCCAAGCGUUCAUAGUGAUGUUUCUUUUUUAUCCUUUGAUGUCGACUCUUCCUAUCAUUGUGAAGAAGAAAUCACCAUGUGUUGGAUUGUUCACCCACCAAUAGGGAACGUAAGUUGGGUUUAGAUCAUCGUGAGACAAGUUAGUUUUACCCUACUUGUGAACCGAACCUAAAUAGUAAUUCAACUUAGUACAACAGGAACCAUUGAUUCACACAAUUGGUCAUCGCGUUUGGUUGAAAAUCCAGUGGCGCGAAGCUACCAUGUGUUGGAUUAUGACUGAAUGGCUCUAACUCAGAAUCAAUGCUAGAAGCAGUUCUUGUCACUCAUCGACUGUAUAUUUAAUUACAAUAGGGAUGUCGCUUCGGCACCCUAGGGGCCCGUGUCACUUGCAAACCUUGGUCAGGAAGAGUCUCAGUCGGGGAAGUUUUUGUUAAUAUUAUGGUAGCUGCGGGAGGUAUUUACCCCCAUGUGU